This 319-nucleotide ribosomal RNA is filed under the name uncultured bacterium. RNAcentral's name for it is "bacterial SSU rRNA". It matches the Rfam family "Bacterial small subunit ribosomal RNA", at positions 27 to 336 of the family's 1533-position model. The record is from RNAcentral.
GAACGAACGCUGGCGGCGCGCUUAACACAUGCAAGUCGAACGAGAAGGCGUAGCAAGUACGCUUGUACAGUGGCGAACGGGUGAGUAAUACGUGGGCGACCUACCCUCGAGUGGGGAAUAACCCGCCGAAAGGCGGGCUAAUGCCGCGUACGCUUCCAUCUUUAUGGAGGUGGAAGGAAAGCCGUGGCCGUGGGCACGGCGCUCAAGGAUGGGCUCACGUCCUAUCAGCUUGUUGGAGGGUAACGGCCUACCAAGGCUCCGACGGGUAGCUGGUCUGAGAGGACGAUCAGCCACACUGGCACUGCGACACGGGCCAGAC